Long non-coding RNA from Acinonyx jubatus (cheetah), 498 nucleotides. RefSeq lists it as uncharacterized. The transcript has 3 exons. NCBI's taxonomy places the organism in Eukaryota, Metazoa, Chordata, Mammalia, Carnivora, Felidae. The record is from RefSeq and is a predicted model, not a curated record.
GGAAUUUACCUGGAAAAAAGAUUAUUGGAAAGAUAUGCCUACAUCUGCCACAAUAUGCAUUAAAAAAAAUCCUAAUUCAGAAUAACUUACGCUUACAACUUAUGCCUGACUCUGCUGGUCACUCUACACCUGACUUACUAAGAAAUGCAAGAGACUAAAGUUCUCCUUAUGAACAUCUAUGUUUCUACUGACGGAGGCUACAUUCUCGCAAUGUCUGCCAUUUCUGGAGCUAAGAGCUGUUACCCUGUGUCUCUGCUGCUCGGAUUGGGAGUUCCCUACAGAAGGAGACCUGCUGGGUCCUCAGUGCCUGUGAAUCCACUGCUUUGUGUGUAACAUGUUUUCCAGAAGGAUUUGGAGAAGGAGUCUACAGGCCACAAGAAUCUGUCGAGCUGUUGACCAAACGUGAAUGAAAACUCGGGAUUAGAAUAAAAAAGAAAAUGGAGAGAGGGGUCAAGGAAAUGAAAGAAAGAAAGAAAGAAAGAAAAAAAGAAAGAAAGA